Molecule: long non-coding RNA, 662 nt
Organism: Lycium barbarum (goji berry)
Lineage: Eukaryota; Viridiplantae; Streptophyta; Magnoliopsida; Solanales; Solanaceae
Exons: 5
Source: RefSeq, a predicted model, not a curated record
AAGGCUUUAGAACUCAACACCAACAAAGGGCGUCUUCUUCAACAUCAACAUCUGCUUCUUCUCCGGGGAAGAUUUUUUCUCCGGUGAAGGCUUCUUCUGUCUCUUUGCAUUCUACAGGUUGAAGAACUAAACAACUUCUCAUUGAAUUUCGUACCCUAUUUGACUCAAAAGUGUUCUACCAAGAGGUACUGACGCUCGUUCUGGUGACCCGCCAGCUUAGUACACCUAUUCUGCUGUUUUGGAGUGCUCCCUUGUUCUGGAGCCUACAUUCUGGACCAGGUAGCCAGUCAGACGAUUCACACCAGUAGGACCUCCCCUCAGCGGCAGUCGGUACGCUCCAUUGAUCUGGAGCUUCAGUCCGUUGGUAUGCCAUCUUGGUACGUACAUAUAUGGGAAAUGGAGAAGAGCAGGUUCUUGAUACUUCAGGCGCUUAAGAAGGACUUGUUGUUGCUGCUGACUUUGUGAGCCUACAUGUUCAUUCGUGGGACACCCCUUAGAACAUUCAUUUAUUAUUCUAGUUUUAGCGGGCUGCGUCCUGAUGUGUCAGACAAUUACUUUUUGUCUUAGAAGCUAUAUAGUAUACAUUCUUGUGGGUAGAUGUUGAGUUUUGUUUAACUCUUGGGCGUGUGACACGCUUGAUUAAAGUUUAUGUUAUUAAAGAC